This 689-nucleotide long non-coding RNA is filed under the name Homo sapiens (human). Its description in RNAcentral is "HSALNT0076039". The record is from RNAcentral. Lineage: Eukaryota; Metazoa; Chordata; Mammalia; Primates; Hominidae.
UAGUGGGUUUAACACCAUCGAAGGAGGAUCCUGGAAAGACAUGGCUGAAGACAUGUUUCUGGGGAGUUCAUUUUCACCUGUAAUCCCUGCCCAGUGAGAAUUUUUUCUGCUACUGAUCUCCUGGGAAGUAUUUGGAGACCACAGAAAAUGAGACAUAUCAGCUUCUUCACAAAAGAGUCCUGGACUGCUAAGGUCACUUAACCCCAGGCCUCAAAUCAUGGCAGCUAGCACUGGGAAACAUCUCAGAAAUCACCUAAUCCAGUCUUCUACAGGGAGAAGUUUCUUCUUAAUAAAAUGGUAAGUGGUCCUUUGAAAACUUUACCACACGUAAAAAUAAUUUGAGAUAGGCCUAAGAACAUUAUUACGUAAAUCUAAAGCAGCAGCAGGAUUAUGCUUAGGCCAAUGCCUGGCACAUUAUGGUAGGCGCUCAAUAAAGGCUUCCUACGACUAAUAAAUGAUGACUGAGCCAGCAAGUAAACUUACGUACUAUUCAGGUAUCAAAAGCCCCAUCUGCUGGUCAAAAAGAAUUAAUCUGUAGCCCUGCAGAUAGUGAUAAGAAAACUCAUGUUUCAGAAAAUUAUAAAAUAUUAAAAGGAAUAUCAAAUAGGAAAGGGGUAUUAGGGAUCAUCUGCUGAACCCACUUACUUUACAAAUGAAGACACUUUUUACAACACUGAUAAGUUCCCAAC